UACUUUGUAGAAAUAUCUUGCAAGUUUGGCUUUCCCAUGGGAAGGAUGCUGUUUUCCCAUGACUAUAUUUUUUGGUGUGGGGACUUCAAUUAUCGAAUAGAUUUGCCCAAUGAAGAGGUGAAGGACCAGAUAUGACAACAGAACUGGGAUCCCCUCAUAGCAGGAGACCAGCUUCAAUUAAAAAAGAAAACUCUGGACAGAUUUGAAGGGGAUUUCUGGAAGGGAAGAUCAAUGGUCCCUUUUUAGGACAGUAAAAAUGUACAUCCUAAGCAGGAGAGGACACAGAAUUCCCUUUCCCUGUUUUUCAAGCACAAGACAGCUGGGAAUUGCUUUCUUCCCAUGGGUAACUGGCAGGAACGAGAUUUCCUCCGCUAUCCUUCCAUCUGUAGCAUCCUCAUUUGUCACAGACACCGAGUUCUAUUCCGAGGACUCCCAUCAGCAAACGGACUCCAGUUCUCAGAAGCGAAUUCCCGAGGCGGAUUUUGGAUUUUUCCCUGGAAUCAGCGGGGACGGCCGAGCCCGGCGGCGGCCCCGGAAGUGCGGGCACGGCGGG
This is a long non-coding RNA of Catharus ustulatus (Swainson's thrush), 553 nucleotides long. RefSeq lists it as uncharacterized. Lineage: Eukaryota; Metazoa; Chordata; Aves; Passeriformes; Turdidae. The record is from RefSeq and is a predicted model, not a curated record. The transcript is spliced from 3 exons.